GAUGAAUGCUGGCGGCGUGCCUAACACAUGCAAGUCGAGCGGCAGCGCGAGUAGUUUACUACUUGGCGGCGAGCGGCGGACGGCUGAGUAACGCGUGGGAAUAUGCCCCAAAGUGAGGAAUAACUGCCCGAAAGGGUAGCUAAUGCCGCAUAUGAUCUUCGGAUUAAAGGAUUUAUCCGCUUUGGGAGUAGCCUGCGUACGAUUAGGUAGUUGGUAGGGUAAUGGCCUACCAAGCCGACGAUCGUUAGCUGGUCUGAGAGGAUGACCAGCCAGACUGGAACUGAGACACGGUCCAGACUCCUACGGGAGGCAGCAGUGAGGAAUCUUCCACAAUGGGCGAAAGCCUGAUGGAGCAACGCCGCGUGCAGGAUGAAGGCCUUCGGGUUGUAAACUGCUUUUAUAAGUGAAGAAUAUGACGGUAACUUAUGAAUAAGCACCGGCUAACUACGUGCCAGCCGCCGCAGUAA
Molecule: ribosomal RNA, 467 nt
Filed under: uncultured bacterium
Lineage: Bacteria
Description: partial 16S ribosomal RNA
Rfam family: Bacterial small subunit ribosomal RNA
Source: RNAcentral